UNUACAAUGUAGUCUGGCCUAAGCAGGGAAA
Molecule: non-coding RNA, 31 nt
Filed under: Rattus norvegicus (Norway rat)
Lineage: Eukaryota; Metazoa; Chordata; Mammalia; Rodentia; Muridae
Source: RNAcentral